CUUUUGAGGUGCAUCAAGCCAAGU
Molecule: non-coding RNA, 24 nt
Filed under: Rattus norvegicus (Norway rat)
Lineage: Eukaryota; Metazoa; Chordata; Mammalia; Rodentia; Muridae
Source: RNAcentral